This 474-nucleotide ribosomal RNA is filed under the name uncultured soil bacterium. Its description in RNAcentral is "bacterial SSU rRNA". It matches the Rfam family "Bacterial small subunit ribosomal RNA", at positions 8 to 526 of the family's 1533-position model. The record is from RNAcentral.
AGAGUUUGAUCCUGGCUCAGAGCGAACGCUGGCGGCAGGCCUAACACAUGCAAGUCGAGCGCCCGUAGCAAUACGGGAGCGGCAGACGGGUGAGUAACACGUGGGAACGUGCCCUUUGGUUCGGAAUAACUCAGGGAAACUUGAGCUAAUACCGGAUAAGUCCGUAAGGAGAAAGAUUUAUCGCCGAAGGAGCGGCCCGCGUCCGAUUAGCUAGUUGGUGGGGUAAUGGCCCACCAAGGCUACGAUCGGUAGCUGGUCUGAGAGGAUGACCAGCCACACUGGGACUGAGACACGGCCCAGACUCCUACGGGAGGCAGCAGUGGGGAAUAUUGGACAAUGGGCGCAAGCCUGAUCCAGCCAUGCCGCGUGGGUGAUGAAGGCCCUAGGGUUGUAAAGCCCUUUCGGCGGGGAAGAUAAUGACGGUACCCGCAGAAGAAGCCCCGGCUAACUUCGUGCCAGCCGCCGCGGUAAUAC